RNA transcript from Alosa sapidissima (American shad), 5480 nucleotides. It is a transcript of the gene named CTD (carboxy-terminal domain, RNA polymerase II, polypeptide A) small phosphatase like 2b, with no coding region annotated. Lineage: Eukaryota; Metazoa; Chordata; Actinopteri; Clupeiformes; Clupeidae. The transcript is spliced from 14 exons. The record is from RefSeq and is a predicted model, not a curated record.
UCCGGGCUACUGCCAUUGAGUGUGAGGGUAAGGAGGCGGGAAAUGGCGUCUGGAGGUACCGCGCACGGUCGGACAAACGGUGCCUGAACAUAGCCGUGGAAAGGUGGCCAGAGACAGCGGCCGUCCUCGGCACGGUGACCGAACAGCUAAGGGUAUCCUCAUAUCUCAUCAAAGAGAUACUUUGGAGUUUUGCAAAUCUUACAUGUGACUGUUAACAUCAUGAGGCUGAGAAUGCGCAAGGCUUCUCAGCAGACAAGUCCCACCCGCCCAUCACGGCAGAAGCGGAAGCACUCCGAGGUGGAUGAGUGUCCUGCCAGGGGCAAGGGUCUGCUCUCCACCAUCAAGAAGAUCAUCAGAGGCAACGCUGUCAAGGUCGAGCAUGAGAACCCGGCCAAGAGAAGUCGCCUGAGCUGUGACCUCAUCACGUCCACGCCGCAGACGGGCAACCUGCCAAAGAAGAGCAUCACCAGGGUGCGUAGGAGAGGCUCUGUCAACGGAGAAGCAACAAACCAUGACACGAGUAAAGGCUCUAAGCCGAAUGGGAAACUGGAGGAGGCGGGCGACACGGUCACCAGUCCGCCCCGCACCACCCUCCUGGACACCAUCUUCUCCCCUGUCUUCAACUACUUCUCACCAGCAAACAAGAACGGCACGUCUGGCUCUGACUCCCCAGACCAGGCGGUGGAAGCGGAGGAGAUCGUGAAGGCCCUGGACAUGGAGCAGGGCGAGGAGACCCCCACCAGCACCGCUACCUCCGAAGAGGUCGUCCGAGCGCCCCUCUACCCUCCCGCCCCGGCGCCCGCCCCCGCCGCCCUGCAUCCACCCCCCCUCCGGCCCCCACCCCCCGCAGACGAGCCCCCAGAGGAGGCCGAAAUCGCCGUAGACACGGACUUGCCCCCCCUCACAGCCCCAGACACAGUCCCGGAGGUGGCCUACGUGGAGGUCCCUGCCACCGUCCCACCAGAGGCUUCCUAUGAGGAGGACUGGGAGGUCUUUGACCCGUAUUUCUUCAUUAAGCAUGUGCCCCCUCUGACUGAGGAGCAACUGACGCGUAAGCCGGCUCUGCCUCUCAAGACCCGCAGCACUCCCGAGUUCUCCCUGGUGCUCGACUUGGAUGAGACGCUAGUACAUUGUAGCCUAAACGAGCUGGAAGACGCAGCACUUACCUUCCCUGUCCUCUUCCAAGACGUUAUAUACCAGGUGUAUGUGCGGUUGAGGCCGUUCUUUCGGGAGUUCCUGGAGAGGAUGUCACAGAUUUAUGAGAUCAUCCUCUUCACAGCCUCUAAGAAGGUGUACGCAGACAAGCUGCUCAACAUCCUCGACCCCAAGAAACAGCUGGUUAGGCACAGGUUGUUUCGGGAGCACUGUGUGUGCGUGCAGGGGAACUACAUCAAAGACCUGAACAUCCUUGGGAGGGACCUGUCCAAGACCAUCAUCAUCGAUAACUCCCCGCAGGCCUUCGCUUACCAGCUGUCUAAUGGCAUCCCAAUCGAGAGUUGGUUCAUGGACAGAAAUGACUGCGAGCUUCAGAAGUUGGUCCCUUUCUUGGAGAAACUAGUUGAGCUGAAUGAGGAUGUACGACCCCACGUAAGGGAGCGAUUCCGUCUCCACGACCUGCUCCCACCGGACUAAAACCCCUGCCUCUAACGGACCCUCUCUGACGGACACGAAGUAAUAAACACAACAAACAAACAACUCUAACACAACAGACCUGUACAAAGGAAACAAACAUAAAAAAAAAAAGCAAACCGAUUCUGGAUUCCGACCACAGCGUUGCGUUGCUGUGAAAUUUUACUGUUUUUUAAUUUUCUUUUGUAGUCCCCUCAUUUGUUUUUAAAACAGAACGCAUUUGAAAGUAACAAAAAGAGAAUUUUGUGUCAACACGCUGUUAACUUAGUGACUUGAUUGAUUGAUUGAUGGGGUUACACCCCUCCCCCUUUCCUCCCAUUGACCUGUAUAAAUGCAGUCAGUCAGAGAAGGAAAACUCAUUUUCCCACAAUCCCUUCACCCCAUCAGAGGUUUGGAUGAAGUGAAUGUGUAAAGGUCUGGAGGGAGAGCUGGAGGAGAAGAACGUGGACGCCGCCUCUUCUCUCCCAAGCUCUUCUCCUCGCAUGGCCUGCCAUGCCUCUCCAGCAACACCCCACUUUCAACAGGAAUGGCCAGUACUCGCAAAGGAACACCUGUGUGUGUGUGUGUGUGAGUAGUAUGUGUGUGAGUGAGAAAAAGCGAGAGAGAGAGAGAGAAAGUGAAAACAGCCUUUAUUCUUGUAAUGGUUCUGUUGAUAGUAAUUGAAACUGCCCCCCUCCCCCAGCAUCGUAUAAUGCAUUCCUGUAACUGUUUCAUUUACAUGUUUGGUAUUCUUGUGUCCUGGUCAGUGUUGAAGCUCCAUGUAUUCUAGCGUUGUUGUUUUCCUUCCAUCUGUUAGCCUACAGUGUGUCUGCUGAUGGUUGCACAAGAGGACUCUGUCUUUCUUUUAAGAGAAAAGAAUGAGAGACUUAACAUUAACAGAGAGCUGUGCUUGUCUGGCUCUGAAGUAGCAAAUUUGUUGACAGGGUUAAAGAUUGUAUUUGUUUAAACCAUCCCAUUAUUAUAUUAUUAUUAUUAUAUAUAUUUUUUUUUUUUUUAAAACGAAUGAAGUCAAAUUUAUAAAAUUGAUUUUGUUAGUUAAUUGUGAACAGAACGACCUCUGAGGUUUUUCCUUCUUGUAUAUUAACCCUCCCUUAAAUCUCCACUAAAGAGAUUAAUGAAUUGCCCGGCCAUUUGGCCAAGUCAUCUUUUCUGAUCUUGUUGAUGUAAUUGUAACGAUAGUAAUAAUGGCAGUGAUGUGUAGAGGUGAUGGUGUAAAAAUGGCUCAACGGUUGUUAGUCCUCCUGAAUGUGGUCCUUGGACUAAGCCCAGUGUGUGAUCGAUCUCUACCAGGCAGGCGGCACCGGACAGGGAGCUGAGGUGUUCCACUGUAAUCAGUGGAAACUGGCUACACCAGACGUGACGACAGCACGGAAAGCGCUCCAGCGAACGGAGCGGUUCACUUGUGCACCCGGUGUAAUCCGGCUGUAGGCAUAUGAAAGGGAGAUCUGACUCGCCCACCCCCAUAGUUUUGCAGCAGAAGGAGGUGUAUAAAUCCGCUGAACACCUAUGUAGCACACCUUUCCCUGUUCUCUCCCACAUCCUCUCUCUCUCCCUCCUCUUGCUCAUCCGGUUUCCUCUCUUUCACUGUCGUUCUCCAUGUCUGGUUCUGUCUCUCCCAGUCUGUUCCUCUCUCCCCUUCGCCAUCACCACAGCCUCACUCGCGGGGUGUGCUACCAAGUGAGGUGGCCGGCUUAUCUCUGAUCUCUAAAAAAACCAAAAACACUGGAUUGAUAGUAGCCAUGGUUUCAAAAGUGAAGUGGUUUUUAAGUUACCUUGAUAUGCUCUAUAUAUAUAAUCACACACACACACACACACACACACACACACACACACACCCCAGUGGUUACACCUGAAGUUACCUGGAUAAGCAGGUAACCUCGUUUCGUAGCGCCGCCCUCUGGUGUUAAAUGGUUGGGAGUAUUCUGGUCCCUCUCCAAAGGGCGUCGGACCUUGUAUGUAGCCGAACACAUCGCAAGAGCGACUUGCUUGAGUGGUCAAAACUCAUGACGGCGGUUUAAAAGCUGCCUCUCGUAGUUCUGUUUUUAUUUUUUUUUAAUUUUUUUUUUUAAUGGAUCUUAUUCUGUGGACUUACAUGUUAAUGUUAAAUGCCUUGGUUUAUACAAAAAAAAAUAAUGCAGUUGAAAGUAUUGUGCUAAGCAUCUUCUUGAUUGAAUGUGCGACUCUGGUCAACUUUGUGGGUCUGAGGGAGAGAAAACGGUUAAACACACAUGUUAAGGAGGUGGGAAAAAAAGACCACUUUAUAUGAGGUUUCCACUCCUGACCCCCUCACCGUCUCCAGGGCCAUGGACACUUUAUGGCAAACAGACCUUUGUCCUUUGUACAAAGAGGGGGAAAAAGAAAAACAGAUGUGGACCUGUUGUAGGGGUUUUCAUGUUGUAGCUUUCUCUCUCUCUCUCUCUCUCUCUCUCUCUCUCUCUCUCUCUCUCUCUCUCUCUCUCUCUCUCUCUCUCUCUCUGUCAUCGCACUGCCUUGCCUGUGUGUGUAGUGAUGGGCCUUACGCUCGUCUCCUCCGCCUGUUCUGAGUAGAAUCAUGUUCAUGGUGCCAUUCUAUUCCUCCUAGUCCUCCUCCUCUUUGGCGGCUCACAGCCCACCGUCUCCUGUGUCUCCAAGAGCCCUGGCCUACAUUGUUGGGAGGAUUUGCUCAGGCGUUGAGGGAGUGGACAGAGUUGUUAGGGCAGCUGUCCCUUACACCAUGUAUGUCCCCUCAUGGACAAAGAUGAACUUGUUACAUGUAUGUUUUUAUCUUGUCAUAUUAACUUUUUAUAUAUAUUUUAAUUUUCCUUUUAUUUUUUUGUAACUUGUAUCUGUAAAGUUGGUUAAAAAUGCAUACUAGCAGAGGGUGGACGUCUCUGGAACUUCCACGACUAGUUUGGGUAUUCCAGGGUUCCAGAACACCGUUGCUGAGCAACGGCAGGAGUGGUCCCCUGGAUCUACCUCCUGCCUCGGCCAAAGCAAAGCCCUCACUGAGUCAGAAGAUCAACAGACAGCUCGGUCCCAAGGAUCCCGGUUUGGAAUGCAGGCUUCCCCUCCAUUCUUUCAUGUGUAAAGACUGCAAAAAAACCUUCACUGCGCCAUACAUGGAAAGCUAUGUUGUCCAUGUGGGGGGUGGGGGGUGGGGGGUGGGGGGGAGAGAAAGAGAGACAAAAACUCCACAGGACACUGGCUCCACCAUCAGCCCUGACCACCCAGUAUCCUCUUCUGCGAGGACAUUGGGCAACUAAUAAUGAUCAUGACGAGAUUAUGCAAAUGUGUGAGAGCCAAGCCCUGUAGCCAGCAUCCCCCCCCCCCCCAAUUCUAAAUUGCCCCCCCCACCCCCCAAUAGAAGAAGAUAUGGGUGCAACUCGCCCCUACUAAAACCCAGGCACUUUUCUUACCAAGAGAGCUUAUUUUGUACAAUUGUCUAAGCAGUAGCAGAGUGAUGCUUAAAAAAAAUAUAUAGAAGAAAGUGGUGUUGGAGGGAUUUGAACAUGUACAACCAGUUCAUUUUAUGUGCAUUACCAUUUUUAUUGUACAAUGGAGUUAUAUUGUACGAAAAUACAUACAGCUUCAUGUAAGAAAAAAAUCCUUAAAAUAAGGAAAACUUUUUGUAUUUUUGAUUUCAAAAGGCAUGUCAUAUCUACUUUUUAAAUGUAUUAAUGAAGAUUUAACUUUACAAGAGAUGGAGUGUUUUUUUGUUUGUUUUUUUCUUACUGUAUUGUCUGUGUAUGGACGUUUAGUUAGGGCACUGUUGUAGAGGACAAAUCUUUAGCAUGUAGAAAAACAUAAGCCUGUUUUGUGGGAAAGUCCUUCAUUAAAUUUUAAUCCUGGCACUUUUUCUGCAGAAAAAAGAA